This is a long non-coding RNA of Leopardus geoffroyi (Geoffroy's cat), 1902 nucleotides long. RefSeq lists it as uncharacterized. NCBI's taxonomy places the organism in Eukaryota, Metazoa, Chordata, Mammalia, Carnivora, Felidae. The transcript is spliced from 4 exons. The record is from RefSeq and is a predicted model, not a curated record.
UACCACUUAGGUGACAGAGAAUCAUGGGUAAAUGAUAGUUUCUUGAUACGUGUAUGAAAAGCCUCCUCAGUAAAUGUCCCAAACUUCGCAAUGACGAGGUAACAAAUCCAGUCACAGCCCAAGUGGUUUUGAAACAGUUCAACAAAAGCCCGAGUGAACAGUUGAUAAAGCAUUACAAGAUUUGUAGUGUUUUCUUUUUCCCAAUCUUCUGAUUUGGGGAAUAUUAUGUAAGGGUGGAUGGUGGAAGGUGCAAGGUUGAUGGUGGGCGUAGAUGAUGGAGGUGUAUGUGGAAAGCAGCAAAGGCCACAGGUGAGCGGAGGACCCAGGCGGCCGAUGGCCUGAUACAACCACAUGCCGAAGCAGGAUUCUUGAGACUUGGCAGUUCGGGUGCAGCAAGGACGCACGGAUGUAGAUUUAUGCUUCUGUCACCUGGGAAAUGCCACCAACAUGGGACCAUUUUGUGAACAAUCAGCUUGGAAUUUGGAGCAGAGUCAGCAUGAGGUUAGAGCAUCAACGUCACAGAGGUCUGACUCGACUUACGAUUUCUCAGGGAAGUACUUCUCCCUCCUCAGUGUCAGGGCAGAGGUGGGAGCAUUUCUGGUGUGUUUCCUUCCACGUGCGGGUUUUUAUUCACCCUGUGAAGUCCUGGCUUCACAGAGGGUUCUCGUCUGCAUAUCCCGCCCUGGGAAGACCCUGAGCCUUCGGCCCUCGUCCCCGCCUGCCUGGUGCUCUGAGGUGCUGCAGACCUGCGGAUCACUGCAGAACCCCCAGGGGAGAGGCUGGUCUUGACCCAGCUUGCCUGCUGGGGUUCCUGAUUUCCCCCCAUUUGGUGUCUUGCAAUUUCUUUGUUUUCUUGAAAGAUGUGUGAUGUGUAAGUUUUCCUUUAAUUUGUCCACCUAAUUAUCUUCUCCAGAAGGGUUCUUAAGAGCAUCAGAUCUGCCACAUGUGAGAAACAGAAGUCCCCACGGCUGCUCUUGGCUCCUGUGGCCCUUUGCUAUGGAUCUGUCUUGGCCAGUGUUUCCUGAAAAAUGGGCUGAAGCAAGAAUGCACUAACUGGGAAGCUCGUUUGUGGGAGACACGGGUGAAGAAGGAGAAUGAGAAAGAAAGCGAUCUUCGGAGGAAGGAACCGGGGCGUAAGGCAUGACGUCUGUCCUGAAGUUUCCCUGGCCCGUUUAGUGCCUGCAUGACAAUGGGGGUGUGGGGGGGUGGGGACAAGGGCUCCCCACAUUACCGGGCAUGACUGGGGUACUGAGGGGCAGCGGGGCCCUCCUCAGGCAGAGGGGGCUGGCCUCUCCGCCCCACCUUCCUGCCUGGCCUGGGACAGGGCUCCACCCACACAUGGGGCUGGGCCCCUGGAUCCCGCUGUGCCUGAAGGCGGCCUCUCCCGGCCUGAGUGCUGGAGUCGUGCCCGUUGAGCAGCUUGGUGGGGGCUCCGUUCUCUGGACUGACCGCGGCUCUGAGGUGGGCUGCUCCCAAACUCCUCAGAGCCGGGUCGUUGAAGACGGCUGCGCACAGCCACCCGCGGCCCCUGGCUCAGCGGCCGUCCGGCCUCCCCUGGGACUCCUCUGUAGUGGAGUCCUGGUCCCCGGGCAGCAGCCCAGCCCCCUGUCACCCAAACCAAUCUGUUCCGGGAGGGCCUCUGGGUCAGACUCUCGGAAGGGCAUCCCCAGCCCAGAGGAGGCGCCUCACUUUCCUGAAAUCGGCCCCGAAAACAUCAGCAGUGUGGACGGCAGGGGGCCGGCGGCCAGAGAGAUGCGCACAAGCAAUAAGGGGAGAACUUCCGAGAGUCAAUCUUGAAAUCACACCCUUGAAUUUCCCAUCAUGUGGGGGGGCCCGGGUGGCUAAGCGGCUGACUCUUGACUUUGACUCAGGUCAUGGUCUCACGGUUUGUGGGGUGGAGCU